Molecule: ribosomal RNA, 469 nt
Filed under: uncultured bacterium
Lineage: Bacteria
Description: partial 16S ribosomal RNA
Rfam family: Bacterial small subunit ribosomal RNA
Source: RNAcentral
GACGAACGCUGGCGGCGUGCUUAACACAUGCAAGUCGAACGGAAAGGCCCUGCUUUCAGGGUGCUCGCGUUGCGAACGGGUGAGUAACACGUGCGUGAUCUGCCCCUUACUUUGGGAUAAGCCUGGGAAACUGGGUCUAAUACUGGAUAGGACCAUUCUUUAGGUGGUGUGGUGGAUAGAUUAGUUUCGGUAAGGGAUGAGCUCGCGGCCUAUCAGCUUGUUGGUGGGGUAAUGGCCUACCAAGGCGUCGACGGGUAGCCGGCCUGAGAGGGUGGACGGCCAGAUUGAGACUGAGAUACGGCCCAGAAGUAUACGGGAGGCAGCAGUGGGGUAUAUUGCACAAUGGGAGCAAGCCUGAUGCAGCGACGCCGCGUGGGGGAUGAAGGCCUUCGGGUUGUAAACUCCUUUCAGCCAUGACGAAGCCCUUGUGGUGACGGUAGUGGUAGAAGAAGCACCGGCUAACUACGUG